Molecule: small nuclear RNA, 91 nt
Filed under: Rhinolophus ferrumequinum (greater horseshoe bat)
Lineage: Eukaryota; Metazoa; Chordata; Mammalia; Chiroptera; Rhinolophidae
Source: RNAcentral
GUGCUCACUUUAAUAGCACAUCUACUAAAGAAGAUUAGCAUGGCCCCUGCACAAGGAUGGCAUGCAAAUUAAUGAAGCAUUCCAUAUUUUU